Molecule: long non-coding RNA, 1101 nt
Organism: Ornithorhynchus anatinus (platypus)
Lineage: Eukaryota; Metazoa; Chordata; Mammalia; Monotremata; Ornithorhynchidae
Exons: 3
Source: RefSeq, a predicted model, not a curated record
AGAAAGGAGGUUGGGGGGAGAGAGAAAGCCCCACGCUUUCUUGAGUUGAGCGCUUCUGAAUUUCCAGCUGAAAGAAUGAGGAGACACUGCGGUGCGUGUCUUUCCUUCGGCUGCGGGUGAAGCGCGCAGACCAUGAAAAACUAGCUGUUCCUCUCCCCCUCCCCCCUCCCGCCAGCCGACAAGGUUUUGAUUUUCCUUCCUUCUGAACCGUGGAGGAUGUGCCGAAAACCAACCGUUUUUUUUUAAAAAAAAAAAACACACCCAAAACAGCGACCGCCAAGACAUUGGGACGCGGAUUAGCCGAUGGCGCGCCGGCGGACACAGCCGGAGAGCGCCGGUCGGGACUUUGGGAGCCAACAUCUGCCUGGCUGGUGACGUCAGCAGCCCCGUGUAAUCCUCUUGUGCUGAAGGCAGAUGCCUUAUUUGUUUGGCUGGAGAGAGCCAUUAAUCCCUAAUUCUGGAUCGGCGAGCGAGGGGGAAGGACCGGCCCCGCUCCAGCUCCCCCUUCCCCCCCCCCCCGUCCCCCCAUCCCGACCCCAAACCACCUAGCAGCGGCGACCUGCUAUGGAGAAAGGAGCUCUCACCCUCUGCAGGGGCUGGCUCACGGGAUCUAGAGCGUCAAAGCCUGGAGUGACCGGACCCUCCCCCCUCUCCUCCGGACACCGAGUCGCCGACGCCUCCAAAGUCCCGUGGACCACCCAAGUCCGGAGCCCCUUCCCCCUCCUCUCACCCCCCGACCCCCUCCCCCGGGCCAGGCUGCAGCCGCAUUGGACUACCCGAGCCGCAACUUGCCCUCCUCUUGCCAGGAGCGCUCUGUCCAGCUCGGCCCGGAGAGGUCACUCGUCCGGGCGCCCCCUCCCACUCGGCCCGGGGGGGGGGGGGAGGCGGGGGUUUGGGGGAGGGGGGUCGCACGGACGCCUUCCCGCUCACCCCGAGCUGCUGCCCGGACCCCGGGUCCCCGCAAAAACGCCAUAGCGAUACGCACAGCCCUUCUCUCUUUCUCCGCAGCCUCACCGCAGCCGGGCCGCAUGGGCUGACCGGACCCUCCCGGGCAGGUGCGAAUCGGUUAUUAAUUCCGCAUUACAAAGAAAGCUGACCCGG